Molecule: ribosomal RNA, 460 nt
Filed under: uncultured bacterium
Lineage: Bacteria
Description: partial 16S ribosomal RNA
Rfam family: Bacterial small subunit ribosomal RNA
Source: RNAcentral
CCUACGGGAGGCAGCAGUGAGGAAUAUUGGUCAAUGGGCUUACGCCUGAACCAGCCAAGUCGCGUGAGGGAAGACUGCCCUAUGGGUUGUAAACCUCUUUUGUCAGGGAGCAACGCCGGCUACGUGUAGCCGGACUGAGAGUACCUGAAGAAAAAGCAUCGGCUAACUCGGUGCCAGCAGCGGCGGUAUUAUGGAGGAUGCGAGCGUUAUCCGGAUUUAUGGGGUUUAAAGGGUGCGUAGGCGGAAUGCCAAGUCAGCGGUAAAAUCGCGGGGCUCAACCUCGCACUGCUGUUGAAACUGGCGGUCUUGAGUGGGCGAGAAGUAUGCGGAAUGCGUGGUGUAGCGGUGAAAUGCAUAGAUAUCACGCAGAACUCCGAUUGCGAAGGCAGCAUACCGGCGCCCAACUGACGCUGAAGCACGAAAGCGUGGGUAUCGAACAGGAUUAGAUACCCUGGUAGUC